CACGGAGUUAGCCGAUCCUUAUUCUUCAGGUACAUUCAGCUUCCUACACGUAGAAAGGUUUAUUCCCUGACAAAAGCAGUUUACAACCCAUAGGGCAGUCAUCCUGCACGCGGCAUGGCUGGUUCAGAGUUGCCUCCAUUGACCAAUAUUCCUUACUGCUGCCUCCCGUAGGAGUCUGGUCCGUGUCUCAGUACCAGUGUGGGGGAUUCUCCUCUCAGGGCCCCUAGACAUCGUAGCCUUGGUGAGCCGUUACCUCUCCAACUAGCUAAUGUCACGCGAGCCCAUCCAUAUCCUAUAAAUAUUUGAUCAUAAUCCGAUGCCGGUUAAUGAUGUUAUGCGGUGUUAAUCUCUCUUUCGAGAGGCUAUCCCCCUGAUAUGGGUAGGUUGCUCACGCGUUACGCACCCGUGCGCCACUCUCAUCAGUUCGUAGCAAGCUACUCCCCUGAACUCCCCGUCCGACUUUGCCUAUGUAUUUAGGCCUGCCGCU
This 487-nucleotide ribosomal RNA is filed under the name uncultured Sphingobacterium sp. RNAcentral's name for it is "partial 16S ribosomal RNA". The record is from RNAcentral. Lineage: Bacteria; Pseudomonadati; Bacteroidota; Sphingobacteriia; Sphingobacteriales; Sphingobacteriaceae.